RNAcentral lists this long non-coding RNA (323 nucleotides) under Homo sapiens (human). RNAcentral describes it as "HSALNT0260506". Lineage: Eukaryota; Metazoa; Chordata; Mammalia; Primates; Hominidae. The record is from RNAcentral.
CUCAGACCACUGUGUAACUCCUAUCUCUCUCCUGAAGCUUUUGGGUCAAAACCUGCACUAUGUCAGUUCAUUCACAAGUCUGAGAAAUGGAAAACAAUGUGCAGGUUUUGACCCAAAAGCUUGAGGAGAGAGACAGGAGUUACACAGUGGUCUGAGAUUGAGGGACUGGGUUCGAAUCGAGGGAAGUCUUGAGGAGGUGGGAGUUCAGUCUGUUCAGAGUGAGAAGAGAUGAUAUCUAGGGAGAGGAGAAAGUGUGAGAAACUUGUACAGAUAAGGAAGGAACCAAUGUUCAUUCACAACUUGUUGGAUCCAUGAUCUCAUGG